AUGAACGCUGGCGGCGUGCCUAAUACCUGCAAGUCGAGCGAACGGACGAGAAUCUUGCUUCUCUGAUGUUAGCGGCGGACGGGUGAGUAACACGUGGAUAACCUACCUAUAAGACUGGGAUAACUUCGGGAAACCGGAGCUAAUACCGGAUAAUAUUUUGAACCGCAUGGUUCAAAAGUGAAAGUCGGUCUUGCUGUCACUUAUAGAUGGAUCCGCGCUGCAUUAGCUAGUUGGUAAGGUAACGGCUUACCAAGGCAACGAUGCAUAGCCGACCUGAGAGGGUGAUCGGCCACACUGGAACUGAGACACGGUCCAGACUCCUACGGGAGGCAGCAGUAGGGAAUCUUCCGCAAUGGGCGAAAGCCUGACGGAGCAACGCCGCGUGAGUGAUGAAGGUCUUCGGAUCGUAAAACUCUGUUAUUAGGGAAGAACAUAUGUGUAAGUAACUGUGCACAUCUUGACGGUACCUAAUCAGAAAGCCACGGCUAACUACGUG
RNAcentral lists this ribosomal RNA (496 nucleotides) under uncultured bacterium. RNAcentral's name for it is "partial 16S ribosomal RNA". It matches the Rfam family "Bacterial small subunit ribosomal RNA", at positions 29 to 507 of the family's 1533-position model. The record is from RNAcentral.